CAUACGCUCUGAGGAGGAAAGCGGGGGACCUACGGGCCUCGCGUUAUCCGAGCGGCCAAUGACUGAUUAGCUAGUUGGCGGGGUAAAGGCCCACCAAGGCGACGAUCAGUAGCGGGUCUGAGAGGACGAUCCGCCACACUGGGACUGAGACACGGCCCAGACUCCUACGGGAGGCAGCAGUGGGGAAUUUUGGACAAUGGGGGCAACCCUGAUCCAGCCAUGCCGCGUGUCUGAAGAAGGGCUUCGGGUUGUAAAGGACUUUUGUUAGGGAAGAAAAGGAAAGUGUUAAUACCACUUUUUGCU
Molecule: ribosomal RNA, 303 nt
Filed under: Kingella sp. oral taxon 012
Lineage: Bacteria; Pseudomonadati; Pseudomonadota; Betaproteobacteria; Neisseriales; Neisseriaceae
Description: bacterial SSU rRNA
Rfam family: Bacterial small subunit ribosomal RNA
Source: RNAcentral